AUACGUAGGUGGCAAGCGUUAUCCGGAUUUACUGGGUGUAAAGGGCGCGUAGGCGGCCCGGUAAGUCUGGAGUGAAAGUCCUGUUUUUAAGAUGGGAAUUGCUUUGGAUACUGUCGGGCUUGAGUGCAGGAGAGGUAAGUGGAAUUCCCAGUGUAGCGGUGAAAUGCGUAGAGAUUGGGAGGAACACCAGUGGCGAAGGCGACUUACUGGACUGUAACUGACGCUGAGGCGCGAAAGUGUGGGGAGCAAACAGGAUUAGAUACCCUGGUAGUCCACACUGUAAACGAUGAAUGCUAGGUGUAGGGGGUAUCGACCCCUUCUGUGCCGCAGUCAACACAAUAAGCAUUCCGCCUGGGGAGUACGGCCGCAAGGUUGAAACUCAAAGGAAUUGACGGGG
This 397-nucleotide ribosomal RNA is filed under the name uncultured bacterium. RNAcentral's name for it is "partial 16S ribosomal RNA". It matches the Rfam family "Bacterial small subunit ribosomal RNA", at positions 523 to 918 of the family's 1533-position model. The record is from RNAcentral.